GAUGAACGCUGGCGGCGUGCCUAAUACAUGCAAGUCGAGCGAACGGACGAGAAGCUUGCUCCUCUGCUGUUAGCGGCGGACGGGCGAGUAACACGUGGAUAACCUACCUAUAAGACUGGGAUAAUUUCGGGAAACCGGAGCUAAUACCGGAUAAUAUUUUGAACCGCAUGGUUCAAAAGUGAAAGACGGUCUUGCUGUCACUUAUAGAUGGAUCCGCGCUGCAUUAGCUAGUUGGUAAGGUAACGGCUUACCAAGGCAACGAUGCAUAGCCGACCUGAGAGGGUGAUCGGCCACACUGGAACUGAGACACGGUCCAGACUCCUACGGGAGGCAGCAGUAGGGAAUCUUCCGCAAUGGGCGAAAGCCUGACGGAGCAACGCCGCGUGAGUGAUGAAGGUCUUCGGAUCGUAAAACUCUGUUAUUAGGGAAGAACAUAUGUGUAAGUAACUGUGCACAUCUUGACGGUACCUAAUCAGAAAGCCACGGCUAACUUCGUG
Molecule: ribosomal RNA, 497 nt
Filed under: uncultured bacterium
Lineage: Bacteria
Description: partial 16S ribosomal RNA
Rfam family: Bacterial small subunit ribosomal RNA
Source: RNAcentral